AGUGCGUCAUCAGAGAGCGCCGGAAGCGGUCCGAGAAUGAAGAGUGUGAUCUACCAUGCGUUGUCUCAGAAAGAGGCGAAUGACUCCGAUGUCCAGGUCAGUUCUUGGCAGGGAGUCCAGGAGCAACAGAGGUGAUGGCAAAGAUGGCUCAGUAGCUUCUGAGCCCCCAGCACUGAUUGAGAUGUCCUUUCCCACAUCAUACUCCUCAUUUUUCUGGCAGACAUCUAAGGCUGGAUCAAAGUCUGUAGUUCUCAUGACCUGUUCCCACGUGCCAGCCUCCUUUUCUGUUGUGCCAAAGUCAAGUUUGGUAAAAUGAGGCUUUUCUUAACCUUUUAUCAUUUCCCACUGUGUUGGGGACACCAGGCUGUGCCCACGUGGUGGGCAGCAUCAUUCAACCUUGUCACUGUGCCCUCUGCACUUCUGCAGAAGGUGUGCAAUCACAUAUCAUAAGUGAAAUUUACAGAUUAUAUCUGAAUGCCUCGGCCUGCUUUGUCAGUUUCGCAAAAGUUCCUCUUGUGGCUCAUAAUGAGAGCAUUACCUUGAAAGCAAGAUUUUGAAAGACCAGUAUACCUUUAUUUUGCUUCUCCAUGAAAGACGAGCCACUCAGGUAUUUAAGAGAAUCAGAUCAU
RNAcentral lists this small RNA (629 nucleotides) under Pan troglodytes (chimpanzee). RNAcentral describes it as "retained intron". Lineage: Eukaryota; Metazoa; Chordata; Mammalia; Primates; Hominidae. The record is from RNAcentral.